Molecule: ribosomal RNA, 468 nt
Filed under: uncultured bacterium
Lineage: Bacteria
Description: partial 16S ribosomal RNA
Rfam family: Bacterial small subunit ribosomal RNA
Source: RNAcentral
GACGAACGCUGGCGGCGUGCUUAACACAUGCAAGUCGAACGGAAAGGCCCUGCUUUUGUGGGGUGCUCGAGUGGCGAACGGGUGAGUAACACGUGAGUAUCCUGCCCUUGUCUUUGGGAUAACUUCAGGAAACUGGGGCUAAUAUCGGAUAGGAGCUCCUGCUGCAUGGUGGGGGUUGGAAAGUUUCGGCGGUUGGGGAUGGACUCGCGGCUUAUCCGCUUGUUGGUGGGGUAGUGGCUUACCAAGGCUUUGACGGGUAGCCGGCCUGAGAGGGUGACCGGCCACAUUGGGACUGAGAUACGGCGCAGACUGCUACGGGAGGCAGCAGGGGGGAAUAUUGCACAAUGGGCGGAAGCCUGAUGCAGCAACGCCGCGUGCGGGAUGACGGCCUUCGGGUUGUAAACAGCUUUCGACGGUGACGAAGCGUGAGUGACGGUAAUGGGUAAAGAAGCACCGGCUAACUACGUG